Non-coding RNA from Erinaceus europaeus (western European hedgehog), 107 nucleotides. NCBI's taxonomy places the organism in Eukaryota, Metazoa, Chordata, Mammalia, Eulipotyphla, Erinaceidae. The record is from Rfam.
GUGCUCAUUUCAGCAGCACAUAUACUAAAAUUGCAAAGAUAUAGAGAAGAUUAGUAUGGCCCCUGUGCAAGGAUGGCAUGUGAAUUCAUGAAGAUUUCCAUGUUUUU